GCCUGGCUGGCUCAGCUGGUAGAGCAUGUGACUCUUGAUUUCAGAGUUGUAAGUUAGACCCCUAUGUUGGGUU
This 73-nucleotide transfer RNA is filed under the name Ailuropoda melanoleuca (giant panda). It matches the Rfam family "tRNA". From Rfam's summary of the family: Transfer RNA (tRNA) molecules are approximately 80 nucleotides in length. Their secondary structure includes four short double-helical elements and three loops (D, anti-codon, and T loops). Lineage: Eukaryota; Metazoa; Chordata; Mammalia; Carnivora; Ursidae. The record is from Rfam by way of RNAcentral.